This is a small nucleolar RNA of Rattus norvegicus (Norway rat), 127 nucleotides long. Ensembl annotates it as small nucleolar RNA SNORA17. The record is from Ensembl. Lineage: Eukaryota; Metazoa; Chordata; Mammalia; Rodentia; Muridae.
UCUCCCCCUAGAGGCAUGCAGCUGUGGCUGCUCUGUCCCAUUUGUGUCAGGUGGAAGAAGGAGAGAGGCUAUGUCUGCGCUCAGGGUUCUGACCUGCAAACACGCGAAUGAUCAGUAGCCUCACAGC